UACUUGUAAGCUUUAAACUUUGAUUUCAUUCAGCCCGUCAGCAAAAACCGUGUAAGUCGCGUUUCAACCGUCACUCUUACUGUGCGUCUGCGUUGAAUCGUUAAAUUUGCUGUUUUGUGUGUAUAAUUUUAUAGUAAUGAGUUCCAGAUCUAGAAAAAUGUUAAACCUUGUAUGUGGAGAAAGUAAUAAUACGAAAAAAGCGGGUGACUAUAAUAAUACCUACCCAGUCAGUGUAAAUGCGGAAGAAUCUAGCCCAUCGGAGUUGACCAUGAUAACAGUAGAGGAUCUUCAGACCUAAACGAAUCAGCCACUAAAACUGCAGACUUUUUGUAUGACGUUUUUUAUUUGAUUUUGGU
Molecule: long non-coding RNA, 356 nt
Organism: Amyelois transitella
Lineage: Eukaryota; Metazoa; Arthropoda; Insecta; Lepidoptera; Pyralidae
Exons: 3
Source: RefSeq, a predicted model, not a curated record